RNAcentral lists this long non-coding RNA (468 nucleotides) under Eucalyptus grandis. RNAcentral describes it as "long non-coding RNA (EGRA_LNC005830)". The record is from RNAcentral. Lineage: Eukaryota; Viridiplantae; Streptophyta; Magnoliopsida; Myrtales; Myrtaceae.
UGAUGAAUUGAGUGUGAUUGUGAUUUAUAGGGAUUCUUUAUGAAAUCCUAAGAGUAGAAAUUGAUGGGAGAUUGGCUGUGAAAUACCACCUAUUAGAGGUCGUGCCCAGAGAGGCCGUGAUAAACCACCUUGGAAAGGUCGUGCCCGAUGAGGCCGUGAAAAACCACCUACAAGAGGUCGUGCCCGAUGAGGCCGUGAAAUACCACCUAUUAGAGGUCGUGCCCAGAGAGGCCGUGAUAAACCACCUCUAAGAGGUCGUGCCCAGAGAGGCCGUGAUAAACCACCUGUGAAAGGUCGUGCCCAGAGAGGCCGUGAUAAACCACCUCUAAGAGGUCGUGCCCAGAGAGGCCGUGAUAAACCACCUAUUAGAGGUCGUGCCCGAUGAGGCCGUGAUAUGCCACCUAUUAGAGGUCGCGCCCAAUGGGGCCGUGAAUUGCCACCUGUUAAAGGUCGCGCCGAGUGGGGCCG